GAAAGCAGUAGCAACGACAAUCCUUGAUCAAUUUGGAAGAAGGUCCAAUGAUGUCAGGAAAAUAAAGAAAAUCGUACAAAUACAAGCCUUCUCUAAAGCAGUAAAAAUGAAAAGAGAAUUAUACUGUGCUGUUUGCUUACUUGAAGAGGGCUUCCUCACGGCGAAAAUGAUCCCAGCUCAGAGAGGAAAAAAAAGUGAAAUCAUGGCCCGGAGGCUGACACUAGCAACAAAUGAGCUUGUUCACUGAAUGAAUCAGUAAACGCAUCUGCUUAACGUGAUCCUUUUGCAUAGAAGCUGGCUGUAGCCAUCUUUGCCCGCUCAGUCCUGGUACUAUUUACUGUGCUCAAUCCACAGACUUUCUUUCUGUGUGGCCCAGAUGGCAAGUAGACACGUAUGGAGUAGCAUGUCAUGGAAAGAGCCCUUGAGCUGGAACAAGAAAACCUUGAUUCAAAUGACCUGGGUGACGUUAUUCAUAACGUCAGCAAGUAAGGGGGUGAUUGGGACACCCCGUUGGCCUUCAGUGAGCUGCCAGUUCGGAGCCCAGCCUGGAGUGACAAAACAGAAAGAAAACAGCUGCUUUUCUCCAGCAGGGACUCCAGUCCGUUUGAAGCCUAUACGUUAAGAAUAUCCACCCUUUCUUUAACAAGAAGAAAAUCCUUUUGGAGCCACCAUCAGCAUGCAGUCUGUAGACUACUAGCACCAGCUUCAAGAUACGGAAGAAAAUGUGCACAAAGAAAAAAAUCUACCAACAGACAUGACUGAAAUUGGCUCGGACAUAAAAGUGAGCAGUUAGGAGAUGACAUAAAGGAUACGAUAGCCACAGGGUCCGCGAGGAACAGAGGGAGGGAAAGAGGGAGAGAGGGAGAAAAGGGAUAAUCAAGGCAUAAUCAGUGUAUCAGAGAAUAUUUACAAACUUACUCAGCUUUUAAACUCCUCUACCAUUUAAGUUUUACAAGAUCAUUAAGCAGCUACUUUGCCUCAACAGUAUAUUUGAAUUCAAAUACUCUUCUAUGUAUUUGUUAAGUACAGGAAGUUUACUUGUUUCAAUGUCUUACCUGAAG
Mustela erminea (ermine) is the source of this 1061-nucleotide long non-coding RNA. RefSeq lists it as uncharacterized. The transcript is spliced from 3 exons. The record is from RefSeq and is a predicted model, not a curated record. Lineage: Eukaryota; Metazoa; Chordata; Mammalia; Carnivora; Mustelidae.